UGGGGAAUUUGACAAUGGCGAAAGCCUGAUCCAGCAAUGCCGCGUGUGUGAAGAAGGCCUUCGGGUUGUAAAGCACUUUUGUCCGGAAAGAAAUCCUUGGCUCUAAUACAGUCGGGGGAUGACGGUACCGGAAGAAUAAGCACCGGCUAACUACGUGCCAGCAGCCGCGGUAAUACGUAGGGUGCAAGCGUUAAUCGGAAUUACUGGGCGUAAAGCGUGCGCAGGCGGUUUGCUAAGACCGAUGUGAAAUCCCCGGGCUCAACCUGGGAACUGCAUUGGUGACUGGCAGGCUAGAGUAUGGCAGAGGGGGGUAGAAUUCCACGUGUAGCAGUGAAAUGCGUAGAGAUGUGGAGGAAUACCGAUGGCGAAGGC
Molecule: ribosomal RNA, 372 nt
Filed under: uncultured bacterium
Lineage: Bacteria
Description: partial 16S ribosomal RNA
Rfam family: Bacterial small subunit ribosomal RNA
Source: RNAcentral